RNAcentral lists this ribosomal RNA (552 nucleotides) under uncultured bacterium. RNAcentral's name for it is "bacterial SSU rRNA". It matches the Rfam family "Bacterial small subunit ribosomal RNA", at positions 777 to 1327 of the family's 1533-position model. The record is from RNAcentral.
AAUAGAUACCCCGGUAGUCCACGCCGUAAACGAUGAGUGCUAAGUGUUAGGGGGUUUCCGCCCCUUAGUGCUGCAGCUAACGCAUUAAGCACUCCGCCUGGGGAGUACGGUCGCAAGACUGAAACUCAAAGGAAUUGACGGGGGCCCGCACAGGCGGUGGAGCAUGUGGUUUAAUUCGAAGCAACGCGAAGAACCUUACCAGGUCUUGACAUCCCAUUGACCACUAUGGAGACAUAGUUUUCCCUUCGGGGACAACGGUGACAGGUGGUGCAUGGUUGUCGUCAGCUCGUGUCGUGAGAUGUUGGGUUAAGUCCCGCAACGAGCGCAACCCUUGUUCUUAGUUGCCAUCAUUUAGUUGGGCACUCUAAGGAGACUGCCGGUGACAAACCGGAGGAAGGUGGGGAUGACGUCAAAUCAUCAUGCCCCUUAUGACCUGGGCUACACACGUGCUACAAUGGACGGUACAAACGGUUGCCAACCCGCGAGGGGGAGCUAAUCCGAUAAAACCGUUCUCAGUUCGGAUUGUAGGCUGCAACUCGCCUACAUGAAGCC